UUUGUGUUCUCAAAUCCAAUUUAUUAAUUUUUAUUUUCAAGUCUUAUUAUUUUAAUUCACGUGAAUGAGAAAGUCAUUCGAGUCUCUUGGGAAGAACGAUAUUGGGUUUUACCAAUUAUGUUACUUGUACGAUUUGGUACCCUUACCAAUUUGUCAACAAUAUUCUCCUUGCUUGAUAUUCUUUUCUUUUUCUUCUUCUUGCUGAAUCUCUUCAAAAAGUUGAUCAAACCAAGCACCUGUUUCCAUGUAUCAAUCAUAGGAACUUUAAUCUCUAAUUUCUUGAAGAUCUCCAUAAAGCACUUAAACUUCUUUUCUUUCCUAAGAUUUUUCUUCUGAUGAGGAAGGGUUUUGCAUAUGAUCUUUUCUUUUUUCCUCUCUUCCUCUUUCUCUCAAUCUUUUCCUCCGUCAACUUUCUCCUUUUAUUUUUCCUUGAUUUCUUCUUUUUUAUUUUCACACUUUUUUCCUUUUUUUCUUUUCUCUCAACCAUUCCUUUUUCUUUCUCCUCAUCUUUCUCUCCCUCACUCAACCUUUCUGUAUCUUUCUCCUCUAUCUUUUCCUCAUCUCUCUCUAUCUUUUCCUCAUCAACAACCUUAUCAAUUUGUGUCUCCAAAUUCCUAAAGGUAACUUCUUAACUCUUGGAAUCGUACUUCUUCAAAAAUUUGUCGAAUUUUUCAUAUUGUUCCAUCAAAUCAACUAUCUGAUGACAUAGUUGUUGAUCAGCCUCCCACGUUUCUGUUGAUAAAGAAAGUUGUUGCUGCCAUAAAUGUUGUUCAGCUUCCCGCAACGUUUCUUUUCGCAAAGAGGAUUGUUUUUGCCAAAGACGUUGUUCGGCUUCCCCCAAUGUUUCUCUUGGCAAAGAGGAUUUUUGCCCAAAUUGGCUUUGAUACAUGUUUG
RNAcentral lists this long non-coding RNA (894 nucleotides) under Vigna radiata. Its description in RNAcentral is "long non-coding RNA (VRAD_LNC018192)". Lineage: Eukaryota; Viridiplantae; Streptophyta; Magnoliopsida; Fabales; Fabaceae. The record is from RNAcentral.